UACGGAGGGGGCAAGCGUUGUUCGGAAUUACUGGGCGUAAAGGGCGCGCAGGCGGCUGCUCAAGUCAGGCGUGAAAGGCCUGGGCUCAACCCGGGAAUUGCGCUUGAGACUGGGCUGGCUUGAGUGCGGGAGAGGAUGGUGGAAUUCCCAGUGUAGAGGUGAAAUUCGUAGAUAUUCGGAAGAACACCAGUGGCGAAGGCGGCUCACUGGCCCGGUUCUGACGCUGAGGUGCGAAAGCGUGGGGAGCAAACAGG
Molecule: ribosomal RNA, 254 nt
Filed under: uncultured bacterium
Lineage: Bacteria
Description: partial 16S ribosomal RNA
Rfam family: Bacterial small subunit ribosomal RNA
Source: RNAcentral